RNAcentral lists this ribosomal RNA (274 nucleotides) under uncultured bacterium. RNAcentral describes it as "partial 16S ribosomal RNA". It matches the Rfam family "Bacterial small subunit ribosomal RNA", at positions 523 to 796 of the family's 1533-position model. The record is from RNAcentral.
AUACGUAUGGGGCAAGCGUUAUCCGGAUUUAUUGGGCGUAAAGCGCGUGUAGGCGGCUUGUUAAGUCAGAUGUGAAAACCGGGGGCUCAACCCGCGGCCUGCAUCUGAAACUGGCAGGCUUGAGUCUGGUAGAGGAAAGUGGAAUUCCUAGUGUAGCGGUGAAAUGCGCAGAUAUUAGGAGGAACACCAGUGGCGAAGGCGGCUUUCUGGGCCAUGACUGACGCUGAGACGCGAAAGCUAGGGGAGCGAACAGGAUUAGAAACCCCGGUAGUCC